GGCCUAAUAGUGUAGUGGUUAACAUACCUCUUUCGGGUAAGACCCACUUCUGAGUUUAUGAGUUUAGAGGUGAUCCCUGGUUCGAAUCCUGGUUAGGCCC
This 100-nucleotide transfer RNA is filed under the name Schizosaccharomyces cryophilus OY26. RNAcentral's name for it is "tRNA SPOG_16312". It matches the Rfam family "tRNA". Rfam says of the family: Transfer RNA (tRNA) molecules are approximately 80 nucleotides in length. Their secondary structure includes four short double-helical elements and three loops (D, anti-codon, and T loops). Lineage: Eukaryota; Fungi; Ascomycota; Schizosaccharomycetes; Schizosaccharomycetales; Schizosaccharomycetaceae. The record is from Rfam by way of RNAcentral.